Molecule: long non-coding RNA, 336 nt
Filed under: Rattus norvegicus (Norway rat)
Lineage: Eukaryota; Metazoa; Chordata; Mammalia; Rodentia; Muridae
Description: long non-coding RNA NONRATT021731
Source: RNAcentral
GGGAGAAACCCAGGGGUUACUCGGCAUAUUCUUCCUUCUUUCUCACAAGCAUGGAACCGUCACUCUCCUCGGAAACCAUCGAGCGUUUGGAAGUAAGCAGCCUCGCCCAGACUUCCAGUGCCGUGGCCUCCAGCACCGAUGGCAGCAUCCACACAGAGUCUGUGGAUGGAAUACCAGAUCCUCAGCGCACAAAAGCUGCCAUUGCACACCUGCAGCAGAAGAUCCUAAAGCUCACAGAACAGAUCAAAAUUGCACAGACAGCCCGAGACGACAACGUUGCUGAAUACUUGAAGCUUGCCAACAGUGCAGACAAGCAGCAGGCUGCUCGCAUCAAAC